RNAcentral lists this long non-coding RNA (1066 nucleotides) under Pogona vitticeps (central bearded dragon). Its description in RNAcentral is "lncRNA (ENSPVIG00000008268.1)". Lineage: Eukaryota; Metazoa; Chordata; Lepidosauria; Squamata; Agamidae. The record is from RNAcentral.
AUUAUAUAAAUAAAGGAAAAUGGACAAACAGGCAAAAGGUUCUCACCUCCCUGAGUAAAUGGUUGCAAAUAGAGGUGAGCCGACUUGAUUUGAAAUCUAUAGAAUGCUUACCUGCCCCUUGCUAUACACUAAGGCUAUGGAUGGAGUUUUACAAGCCCAUGAUCCCCCUCAUGCUUGACAGGAUGAAAAGAUUUCUGAGAAUCUUCUCCAUUGCAACAAAACAAGUCCUUUUGGAUGUGUCUCCAGAUCCAGAUAUAAAACAGUCUCAGCAAACUUCUGGGGAGCAAAGAGUACUAGCUACUCCUCCGCUGACCACAAGGCCACAGCUAAUGGGCUCUCUGCCAAAACACAAUGUAGAUGAAGGUCCGCUCAUGACACAGCAGCAACAGGAAAGAUUACAGCAGUGACCAGCUGCAUCUCUACCAGCAGUCAGAGAACUAGUCUCCCUGGAUAAGCUGGAGUGCCUGACCAAGUCCUUGGAAGAAUCUCUAGUAAAUUCAAGAGGGUUCCCAGCUGUGCAUAGCUCAGCAAUAAUGCCAGCAGUUGGGAUGAUACAAAAACCUCAAAUCAAGUCUACUCUAGAGAGCUCUUCAAGGUCCAGGAGAAGACUCCCAACUUGGGCCACAACUGGGGCAGCAUUGCAAAGCAGGUAAACAGUAUUACUCAGAUGGUAACUGGUCAGGACAAAACUGAAUCACCAUCCAAGGACUUACUGAUGCAACUGGAUAUAGAUGGAGAUGAACUUGUGGAAGAAGUUGUGGCAGCCAAGACUACAGUUCCAAAUUCUUGCAGAAAAGUAAUCCUAAGGGGCUCUAAUAUUACUUCUCUGUUAACUGGAAUGUGUAUUGGAGGAGGCACUGCUCCACUUGGCAACUACCUAUUGAUGGCUGCCAUUUUUCUUCCCAGGAUGCUCUGGAGACUUCAUCAUUUAGAGGCAUUGUUGAGUGGUGGAGAAGAGGCAUCAUUAUGGUGGCAGCCACUAUCUCCUCUUCACUCUGCUCCUAGAUAAGAUCUUAUUCUAAUUAGUGUAAAUAAAUACAGAAGAAAUGUGGAAGGCUCUGUCUUG